Molecule: ribosomal RNA, 330 nt
Filed under: uncultured eukaryote
Lineage: Eukaryota
Description: partial 18S ribosomal RNA
Rfam family: Eukaryotic small subunit ribosomal RNA
Source: RNAcentral
CCCUUAGAUGUUCUGGGCCGCACGCGCGCUACACUGAUGCAUUCAACGAGUCUAAAACCUGGUCUGAUAGGGCUGGGUAAUCUUUUGAAUGUGCAUCGUGAUUGGGAUAGAUGAUUGCAAUUCUUCAUCUUCAACGAGGAAUGCCUAGUAAACGCAAGUCAUCAGCUUGCAUUGAUUACAUCCCUGCCCUUUGUACACACCGCCCGUCGCUCCUACCGACUGAAUGUUCCGAUGAAUACCAUGGACUGAGAGUAUGAAUGGGUUCGCCUAUUUCUGCUUCUCGGGAAGUGGAGUAAAUCUUAACAUUUAGAGGAAGGAGAAGUCGUAACA